UCACUGGUGGUCCAGUGUUUAGGACUCCAAGCUUUCAGUGCUGAGGGCCUGGGUUCAAUCCCUGGUCAGGGAA
Molecule: transfer RNA, 73 nt
Filed under: Bos taurus (domestic cattle)
Lineage: Eukaryota; Metazoa; Chordata; Mammalia; Artiodactyla; Bovidae
Also listed under: 2 other names
Rfam family: tRNA
About the family: Transfer RNA (tRNA) molecules are approximately 80 nucleotides in length.
Source: Rfam by way of RNAcentral